This 450-nucleotide ribosomal RNA is filed under the name uncultured bacterium. Its description in RNAcentral is "partial 16S ribosomal RNA". It matches the Rfam family "Bacterial small subunit ribosomal RNA", at positions 354 to 796 of the family's 1533-position model. The record is from RNAcentral.
GUGGGGAAUAUUGGACAAUGGGCGAAAGCCUGAUCCAGCCAUGCCGCGUGUGUGAAGAAGGUCUUCGGAUUGUAAAGCACUUUAAGUUGGGAGGAAGGGCAGUAAGUUAAUACCUUGCUGUUUUGACGUUACCGACAGAAUAAGCACCGGCUAACUUCGUGCCAGCAGCCGCGGUAAUACGAAGGGUGCAAGCGUUAAUCGGAAUUACUGGGCGUAAAGCGCGCGUAGGUGGUUCAGCAAGUUGAAGGUGAAAUCCCCGGGCUCAACCUGGGAACUGCCUCAAAAACUACUGAGCUAGAGUACGGUAGAGGGUAGUGGAAUUUCCUGUGUAGCGGUGAAAUGCGUAGAUAUAGGAAGGAACACCAGUGGCGAAGGCGACUACCUGGACUGAUACUGACACUGAGGUGCGAAAGCGUGGGGAGCAAACAGGAUUAGAUACCCUAGUAGUCC